This 125-nucleotide microRNA precursor is filed under the name Brassica napus (rape). RNAcentral describes it as "MIR9563 microRNA precursor family". It matches the Rfam family "MIR9563 microRNA precursor family". RNAcentral also lists the same sequence under 1 other name. The record is from Rfam by way of RNAcentral. Lineage: Eukaryota; Viridiplantae; Streptophyta; Magnoliopsida; Brassicales; Brassicaceae.
GGAAUAUAAGAAUCCGUCUCUUAACUUUUAACUAAAAAAGGUAAGAACCGGUUCUUAAAUAAGAGUUUUAAGAGUCGGUUCUUAACAUUUUUAGUUAAAAGUUAAGAGACGGGUUAUUAUAUUCC